UUUGGGGUUUGCACUGACGUUUUCUGAAAUAGGUGUAUACUGGCCUACAAACAGAAGGACAGCGAGACAAGCCACAGGAACGAACCAUUUAAAUUCGAGUUUUACAUAAAACAAAUCUGUAAAAUUCAUUUUCUAAAAUCGCAUAAUAUAUGAAACACAAAAAUAACAUCCUUUAUCAAACAUUAUCUUAAAACAAUAUUUUUUUUAUUUUAUUUUCAGGACAAAAACGUAUCUUAUAAGUCUUAGCCUCUAGCCUUUUCAUAAUCCAGAAUCCUUUGGAUAAUCCAUUCCUUCUCCGCGACCUAUUAUCCGCCUUAACUCAAAGACAAAAUCUCUUCUGUACUAAAUUUAACCACAUUCGCAUCGCAAUUAAAACUUGGAAAGUGGCCAUUCCCUACUUAUAAACGGGGUAGCAAAAGGUGUUUAGUUUUAGGGUAAGGGGAGUUGAAAACUGCUAAAAUACACGACGAUUGUUUUAUUUUGUUUCCACGCUAUAUGGUGCGAAUCGACUCUUUCCAAAACGCGCUUCCGCUUCACAGAUAUCGAUGCAAGUACGAAGGAAAACGAAAACACAAAUGAAAACAAAAUUCACUUUCUUAGGGACUAAAAUGUCGUUAGAACAAGUACGAUAAAGCAAGACCGCGGACGCUUCAAAAAAGAUUGUUAUACCGUCGUUAAACUGUUCCCCCAAGGAAUGGUGUCAGAAAUGUGAUCAAACUUGAGAGUAUUUCUACAAGGAUGAAAUACGAAAAUUGCGAAAAUUGAAGAGAUGAUAAGAUAAUGCGUGUUUAAAAUACCCGACAGAGUUGUCGUUGGCACGAAGUGAGAGUAAGUGUCUUCUGAAGCCAAUCGAACUGGGGAAAUGUCAGCGGAUGUUUCGCGUCAUCCCCAAUACUAUCUUAGUGCAAGAUCUACCCAUUCGCUUUACCAAUAUCAUACGGUACUCACUUUAAAGCGAAAAACACGAGCGCUGAUUGGAGGACAUGAGAGCAGAUUUAUAAAUUUUGCCUCGAGUCGUCUAUAGGGGUUGAAGAAAGCUUUUCAAGGGCGGCACGAAUUGCCCAGGGUUACGGAUUGUCAGGGAUAGCUAGAACCGAAUGCACUCUAUCGAAACAUUACGCAGAGAUGCAAACCACCCUGCCACAAUCACUUAUACUAUAAAACGUCAACAACAUAGUUUUCCUUCUGAAUUCCUUUAUUUAUUGUAAUUAAAUUUCUUCUGUUAGUAAAUACUAACAUUGUUUUGCAGUUUUCAGGCGCGAAUGAACAGCAACAUUUAAUUGUUUGAAAAUAAAAUAAGACACUUCUAUGCA
Molecule: long non-coding RNA, 1313 nt
Organism: Nematostella vectensis (starlet sea anemone)
Lineage: Eukaryota; Metazoa; Cnidaria; Anthozoa; Actiniaria; Edwardsiidae
Exons: 2
Source: RefSeq, a predicted model, not a curated record